GAUGAACGCUGGCGGCGUGCCUAAUACAUGCAAGUCGAGCGAACAGACGAGGAGCUUGCUCCUCUGACGUUAGCGGCGGACGGGUGAGUAACACGUGGAUAACCUACCUAUAUGACUGGGAUAACUUCGGGAAACCGGAGCUAAUACCGGAUAAUAUAUUGAACCGCAUGGUUCAAUAGUGAAAGACGGUUUUGCUGUCACUUAUAGAUGGAUCCGCGCCGCAUUAGCUAGUUGGUAAGGUAACGGCUUACCAAGGCAACGAUGCGUAGCCGACCUGAGAGGGUGAACGGCCACACUGGAACUGAGACACGGUCCAGACUCCUACGGUAGGCAGCAGUAGGGAAUCUUCCGCAAUGGGCGAAAGCUUGACGGAGCAACGCCGCGUGAGUGAUGAAGGUCUUCGGAUCUUAAAACUCUGUUAUUAGGGAAGAACAAAUGUGUAAGUAACUAUGCACGUCUUGACGGUACCUAAUCAGAAAGCCACGGCUAACUACGUG
This 497-nucleotide ribosomal RNA is filed under the name uncultured bacterium. Its description in RNAcentral is "partial 16S ribosomal RNA". It matches the Rfam family "Bacterial small subunit ribosomal RNA", at positions 28 to 507 of the family's 1533-position model. The record is from RNAcentral.